UGAGGAAUAUUGGUCAAUGGGCGAGAGCCUGAACCAGCCAAGUCGCGUGAGGGAAGACGGUCCUACGGAUUGUAAACCUCUUUUGCCGGGGAGCAAAGGGGCCAUUGAUGGCAGGAUGAGCGUACCCGGAGAAAAAGCAUCGGCUAACUCCGUGCCAGCAGCCGCGGUAAUACGGAGGAUGCGAGCGUUAUCCGGAUUUAUUGGGUUUAAAGGGUGCGUAGGUGGCCAUUUAAGUCAGCGGUGAAAGUUUGUGGCUCAACCAUAAAAUUGCCGUUGAAACUGGAGGGCUUGAGUAUGUUUGGGGCAGGCGGAAUGUGUGGUGUAGCGGUGAAAUGCAUAGAUAUCACGCAGAACUCCGAUCGCGAAGGCAGCUUGCCAAGCCAUAACUGACACUGAAGCACGAAAGUGUGGGUAUCAAACAGGAUUAGAUACCCUGGUAGU
Molecule: ribosomal RNA, 441 nt
Filed under: uncultured Parabacteroides sp.
Lineage: Bacteria; Pseudomonadati; Bacteroidota; Bacteroidia; Bacteroidales; Tannerellaceae
Description: bacterial SSU rRNA
Rfam family: Bacterial small subunit ribosomal RNA
Source: RNAcentral